UGCACCUACGGGGCGCAGCAGUGGGGAAUAUUGGGCAAUGGGCGCAAGCCUGACCCAGCAACGCCGCGUGAAGGAAGAAGGCCCUCGGGUUGUAAACUUCUUUUAUCAAGGACGAAACAAAUGACGGUACUUGAUGAAUAAGCCACGGCUAACUACGUGCCAGCAGCCGCGGUAAUACGUAGGUGGCAAGCGUUAUCCGGAUUUACUGGGUGUAAAGGGCGUGUAGGCGGGGCUGCAAGUCAGAUGUGAAAACCAUGGGCCCAACC
Molecule: ribosomal RNA, 266 nt
Filed under: uncultured bacterium
Lineage: Bacteria
Description: partial 16S ribosomal RNA
Rfam family: Bacterial small subunit ribosomal RNA
Source: RNAcentral